This 254-nucleotide ribosomal RNA is filed under the name uncultured bacterium. Its description in RNAcentral is "partial 16S ribosomal RNA". It matches the Rfam family "Bacterial small subunit ribosomal RNA", at positions 524 to 776 of the family's 1533-position model. The record is from RNAcentral.
UACGGAGGAUCCAAGCGUUAUCCGGAAUUACUGGGCGUAAAGAGUUGCGUAGGUGGCAUCGUAAGCGGGUAGUGAAAGCGUGUGGCUCAACCAUACUCACAUUAUCCGAACUGCGAAGCUAGAGGACGAGAGAGGUUAUUGGAAUUCUCAGUGUAGGAGUGAAAUCCGUAGAUAUUGGGAGGAACACCGAUGGCGUAGGCAGAUAACUGGCUCGUUCCUGACACUAAGGCACGAAAGCGUGGGUAGCAAACGGG